UUCGGCGCAACGGGUUGAAUGGAGCGUGAAUUUUGACUGUUAAUCAAUUGGUCGUAGGUUCGAUCCCUACCGCCGGAGCCA
Molecule: transfer RNA, 81 nt
Filed under: Paracoccaceae bacterium
Lineage: Bacteria; Pseudomonadati; Pseudomonadota; Alphaproteobacteria; Rhodobacterales; Paracoccaceae
Description: Rhodobacteraceae bacterium (activated sludge metagenome) tRNA-Asn
Source: RNAcentral